UCGACCGCGACCCCAGGUCAGGCGGACUACCCCUUUUUGGAUUG
This 44-nucleotide ribosomal RNA is filed under the name Bacopa monnieri. RNAcentral's name for it is "partial 28S ribosomal RNA". Lineage: Eukaryota; Viridiplantae; Streptophyta; Magnoliopsida; Lamiales; Plantaginaceae. The record is from RNAcentral.